GUUGCUCGGGGCUGCGAUGCCCCUUAGGUUGCGGGCAACCAGAGGCCUCACUCGUGGGCAGGAAGCAAGGGCGGACCCCGAGAGAUGACUGAUUGUGGGGGUGGGGACCGUCUGCUCCUCCUAAUGGCUGGGGACCGUGCACGUCUGCGCGGGCCGGACCUGCUCUUCUCGGGAACUUGCGCGGGAGGAGGCCCGGAGCUGCGCCGCUUUACCCUCUGCUCCCCGGUGCCUAAAACGCACACGCAUCAAAGUCACAGGACGAGUUAGAGGAGAAAGGCAGAGGGAGAUUUGAAACACAGAGGAGGUGAUGAGAAGACACAGCAGAAGAUAUCUGAAGACUGGAAAGAAUGCUGCAACCAACAGGAGAAGGAAAAGACAGAAAUGUGUUUUCCAUUUGGAGCAUCCAGAGGGAGCACAACCAUAUCAACACCUUGAUUUUGAUCCAGUGACAUUGAUUUUGGACUUGUGGCCUCCAGAACUUUUAGAGAAUAAAUUUGCAUUGUUUUAAGCCAACAGGUUGGUGGAAAUUUUUUACAGCAGCCACAGGAAGCAAACACAGACUCCUAACUGGUGCUUAGUCCUAGAAUAUCAGUUUCUGUUCCACUUCUGGAUCUCAUAAUUGCAUCUCAGACAUCAACACUGACUUCAUAUUCUUAAUGCACCAAUUCUACCAUUUCUUCAGGCUGCAAACAGAGAAAAACUUAUUUAAGCAUUCCAGAAUUGACCCAAUAGAAGACUCUCCAGAAAAGACUGCAUGGUCUCUGAAGCAGCAUGAUCAGCAUGACUGGCUGCAUCUGGGCUCCACCGUUUGCCACUUCAGACAGGUCCUUAGCCUCUUAGAGGUUCAUUUUCCUUGCUGUAGCCCGGAGUAAGAAUGUUUAGCCUACAAGAUUUAUUUUGAGGCAUCAAUGAAUCACUAUGUGAGCCUCACACAGUGUCUGGCACUGAUAUUACAAAAUAUGGUUGAUCUUGC
RNAcentral lists this long non-coding RNA (973 nucleotides) under Homo sapiens (human). RNAcentral describes it as "HSALNT0398995". The record is from RNAcentral. Lineage: Eukaryota; Metazoa; Chordata; Mammalia; Primates; Hominidae.